This 497-nucleotide ribosomal RNA is filed under the name uncultured bacterium. RNAcentral's name for it is "partial 16S ribosomal RNA". It matches the Rfam family "Bacterial small subunit ribosomal RNA", at positions 28 to 507 of the family's 1533-position model. The record is from RNAcentral.
GAUGAACGCUGGCGGCGUGCCUAAUACAUGCAAGUCGAGCGAACGGACGAGAAGCUUGCUUCUCUGAUGUUAGCGGCGGACGGGUGAGUAACACGUGGAUAACCUACCUAUAAGACUGGGAUAACUUCGGGAAACCGGAGCUAAUACCGGAUGAUAUUUUGAACCGCAUGGUUCAAAAGUGAAAGACGGUCUUGCUGUCACUUAUAGAUGGAUCCGCGCUGCAUUAGCUAGUUGGUAAGGUAACGGCUUACCAAGGCAACGAUGCAUAGCCGACCUGAGAGGGUGAUCGGCCACCCUGGAACUGAGACACGGUCCAGACUCCUACGGGAGGCAGCAGUAGGGAAUCUUCCGCGAUGGGCGAAAGCCUGACGGAGCAACGCCGCGUGAGUGAUGAAGGUCUUCGGAUCGUAAAACUCUGUUAUUAGGGAAGAACAUAUGUGUAAGUAACUGUGCACAUCUUGACGGUACCUAAUCAGAAAGCCACGGCUAACUACGUG